RNAcentral lists this ribosomal RNA (500 nucleotides) under uncultured Desulfobulbus sp. RNAcentral's name for it is "bacterial SSU rRNA". It matches the Rfam family "Bacterial small subunit ribosomal RNA", at positions 887 to 1382 of the family's 1533-position model. The record is from RNAcentral. Lineage: Bacteria; Pseudomonadati; Thermodesulfobacteriota; Desulfobulbia; Desulfobulbales; Desulfobulbaceae.
GCCCGCUCAGAAACUCACAUGAAUUGACGGGGCCCGCACAAGCGGUGGAGUAUGUGGUUUAAUUCGAUGCAACGCGAAGAACCUUACCUGGUCUUGACAUCCCGGAGACCCUUAGGAAACUAGGGGGUGCUUCCAUCUGGAAGAAUCUGGAGACAGGUGCUGCAUGGCUGUCGUCAGCUCGUGUCGUGAGAUGUUGGGUUAAGUCCCGCAACGAGCGCAACCCUUGCCUUUAGUUGCCAGCAGUUCGGCUGGGCACUCUAAAGGGACUGCCGGUGUUAAACCGGAGGAAGGUGGGGAUGACGUCAAGUCCUCAUGGCCUUUAUGACCAGGGCUACACACGUACUACAAUGGCCGAUACAAAGGGCAGCGACACUGCGAGGUGAAGCCAAUCCCGUAAAAUCGGUCUCAGUCCGGAUUGGAGUCUGCAACUCGACUCCAUGAAGUUGGAAUCGCUAGUAAUCGUGGAUCAGCAUGCCACGGUGAAUACGUUCCCGGGCCUU